This 429-nucleotide ribosomal RNA is filed under the name Actinomycetes bacterium. RNAcentral describes it as "Actinobacteria bacterium partial 16S ribosomal RNA". It matches the Rfam family "Bacterial small subunit ribosomal RNA", at positions 355 to 776 of the family's 1533-position model. The record is from RNAcentral. Lineage: Bacteria; Bacillati; Actinomycetota; Actinomycetes.
UAGGGAAUCUUCCGCAAUGGGCGAAAGCCUGACGGAGCAACGCCGCGUGAGUGAUGAAGGUCUUCGGAUCGUAAAACUCUGUUAUUAGGGAAGAACAAGUGUGUAAGUAACUAUGCACGUCUUGACGGUACCUAAUCAGAAAGCCACGGCUAACUACGUGCCAGCAGCCGCGGUAAUACGUAGGUGGCAAGCGUUAUCCGGAAUUAUUGGGCGUAAAGCGCGCGUAGGCGGUUUUUUAAGUCUGAUGUGAAAGCCCACGGCUCAACCGUGGAGGGUCAUUGGAAACUGGAAAACUUGAGUGCAGAAGAGGAAAGUGGAAUUCCAUGUGUAGCGGUGAAAUGCGCAGAGAUAUGGAGGAACACCAGUGGCGAAGGCGACUUUCUGGUCUGUAACUGACGCUGAUGUGCGAAAGCGUGGGGAUCAAACAGG